AGUUCUUUAUUAGGAAAAUAUAUAUCCCCUACUAAAUCCUCCUAAUUAUUCUCAUAUCCACAAUAAAGUAAUAUAUGUCAUAAGUUAUUAUAUAAGAAAAGAAGGUUCAUCCACCAUUUGCCGUCACAAGCUCGAUAAUUUUUUGUGCGCUUAAAACGCUUCCUUUUUUUAAGUCACCAUAAUAAUCCGGCUUCAACAUCGUGAUUCCACCGAACCACCACUCCAUGUCAUCUCCAUUCUCCCUUAAUUCACCUAUUCAAUAAAUCCAAACAGCAACCAAAAAUCAAUCAAAUAUGAACAUAAAUUGUAGAAGGAUAUGAGUCUAUCCUCAUCGAACCAAAAGGAAACAGAAAAGGGGAUUUAGAGAAUCCCCACUCCCUUCACUGUUAGAGACACCGAGAGGAGGAAGAAAGGAGGAGACAACCCCAAUGAGAACCACCAUAAUCCACCGCAACUCGCCACAAACCGUCACCAUUGCCGUCGAAGGAGCGAAGAAGAAGGGAGGCUAGGGAUUGAAAUUCCCUUUUCUAAUUUGGGGUCAAAGAACCCGUAUGGGGUUACCCCUCUCCUACUUCUUUAUUUCACUUACCAUUUAUUCAUUUUCUUUCACUUUUUUUUUACUUAAUUUAUAUAUGUAGUUGUUGUUAAUGUAUU
This 654-nucleotide long non-coding RNA is filed under the name Lupinus angustifolius (narrow-leaved blue lupine). Its description in RNAcentral is "long non-coding RNA (LANG_LNC003657)". Lineage: Eukaryota; Viridiplantae; Streptophyta; Magnoliopsida; Fabales; Fabaceae. The record is from RNAcentral.